AUCUUAUCCAGAGAGGCGGAGGGACUGGCCCGGUGAAGCCUCAGCAACCAGCCGGAUUCCGGCCAGGUGCUAAUUCCAGCAGAACUUCUGUUCUGGAAGAUAAGAU
Molecule: non-coding RNA, 106 nt
Filed under: Caldibacillus debilis
Lineage: Bacteria; Bacillati; Bacillota; Bacilli; Caryophanales; Bacillaceae
Also listed under: 1 other name
Description: SAM-I sequence
Rfam family: SAM riboswitch aptamer (S box leader)
About the family: The SAM riboswitch is found upstream of a number of genes which code for proteins involved in methionine or cysteine biosynthesis in Gram-positive bacteria. The SAM riboswitch acts at the level of transcription termination control. The predicted structure consists of a complex stem-loop region followed by a single stem loop terminator region.
Source: RNAcentral